GUACUCGCCUGAGCAGCACAUAUAAUAUUAAAAUUGGAACAGUACAGAGAAGAUUAGCAUGGCCCCUGUUCAAGGAUGACAUGGAGCAUUCCAUAAAAGAAGAAAGGGAGA
This is a small nuclear RNA of Lutra lutra (Eurasian river otter), 111 nucleotides long. NCBI's taxonomy places the organism in Eukaryota, Metazoa, Chordata, Mammalia, Carnivora, Mustelidae. The record is from RefSeq and is a predicted model, not a curated record.